Molecule: long non-coding RNA, 335 nt
Filed under: Bos taurus (domestic cattle)
Lineage: Eukaryota; Metazoa; Chordata; Mammalia; Artiodactyla; Bovidae
Description: long non-coding RNA NONBTAT017212
Source: RNAcentral
AAGGGAUAUAUGAAAAGACCAAAACCAAACUAAAAAAGGUUUAACUAAGAAAUGUAAAACAAAUUUUGAAUAAACAGAAAUAGGUAAUAUUCCUGAAUUUAACAUUUUAAACUUUGUAAAAAAUAAAUCCACCAAUUAAUCAUCCAACUAUCUCCCAUAUAAUCUCUCUAAAAAUAUCAUAAUAUGUAUUUUUGGAAUUUAAAAAAAUGGCUCUAAAUUUUAUUUAAAACUUCAAAAUAACAUAAACGUUAAUACUUUGUUUAUUGAAAACUGUGACUACACCUUUUUAUGAAAUGUAUAGAGUAUUCAUAAAUUUGACCAAAUAAUAAGCCUCA